GGAUGUGCCGAGAGGUGAAAUAUUUUAUAGCCUGUAGAUGAGUUUGCGUCUGAUUAGCUAGUUGGUGGGGUAAGGGCCUACCAAGGCGACGAUCAGUAGCUGGUCUGAGAGGACGAUCAGCCACACUGGGACUGAGACACGGCCCAGACUCCUACGGGAGGCAGCAGUGGGGAAUUCUAUCCGCAAUGGGCGAAAGCCUGACGGAGCAAUACCGCGUGAGGGAGGAAGGUCUGUGGAUUGUAAACCUCUUUUGAUAGGGAAGAUACCGGGAUAAUUUGCAACUCCGUGCCAGCAGCCGCGGUAAUACGGAGGAUGCAAGCGUUAUCCGGAAUUAUUGGGCGUAAAGCGUCCGUAGGUGGUUAAUCAAGUCUAUUGUCAAAGCCUGGGGCUUAACCCUGGAGAGGCGGUAGAAACUACCGCAAACUUGAGUGCGGUAGGGGCAGAGGGAAUUCCCAGUGUAGCGGUGAAAUGCGUA
Molecule: ribosomal RNA, 475 nt
Filed under: uncultured Leptolyngbya sp.
Lineage: Bacteria; Bacillati; Cyanobacteriota; Cyanophyceae; Leptolyngbyales; Leptolyngbyaceae
Description: bacterial SSU rRNA
Rfam family: Bacterial small subunit ribosomal RNA
Source: RNAcentral